Molecule: ribosomal RNA, 450 nt
Filed under: uncultured bacterium
Lineage: Bacteria
Description: bacterial SSU rRNA
Rfam family: Bacterial small subunit ribosomal RNA
Source: RNAcentral
GUGGGGAAUAUUGGACAAUGGGCGAAAGCCUGAUCCAGCCAUGCCGCGUGUGUGAAGAAGGUCUUCGGAUUGUAAAGCACUUUAAGUUGGGAGGAAGGGCAGUAAGUUUAUACCUUGCUGUUUUGACGUUACCGACAGAAUAAGCACCGGCUAACUUCGUGCCAGCAGCCGCGGUAAUACGAAGGGUGCAAGCGUUAAUCGGAAUUACUGGGCGUAAAGCGCGCGUAGGUGGUUUUGUAAGUUGGAGGUGAAAUCCCCGGGCUCAACCUGGGAACUGGCUCCAAAACUGCAUGACUAGAGUACGGUAGAGGGUAGUGGAAUUUCCUGUGUAGCGGUGAAAUGCGUAGAUAUAGGAAGGAACACCAGUGGCGAAGGCGACUACCUGGACUGAUACUGACACUGAGGUGCGAAAGCGUGGGGAGCAAACAGGAUUAGAUACCCUUGUAGUCC